UACGAAGGGGGCUAGCGUUGCUCGGAAUGACUGGGCGUAAAGGGCGCGUAGGCGGAUUGUUUAGUUAGGUGUGAAAUUCCUGGGCUUAACCUGGGAACUGCAUUUAAUACAGGCAGUCUAGAGUGAGGAAGAGGGUUGUGGAAUUCCCAGUGUAGAGGUGAAAUUCGUAGAUAUUGGGAAGAACACCGGUGGCGAAGGCGGCAACCUGGUCCUUGACUGACGCUGAGGCGCGAAAGCGUGGGGAGCAAACAGG
Molecule: ribosomal RNA, 253 nt
Filed under: uncultured bacterium
Lineage: Bacteria
Description: partial 16S ribosomal RNA
Rfam family: Bacterial small subunit ribosomal RNA
Source: RNAcentral